GAUGAACGCUGGCGGCGUGCCUAAUACAUGCAAGUCGAGCGAACAGACGAGGAGCUUGCUCCUCUGACGUUAUCGGCGGACGGGUGAGUAACACGUGGAUAACCUACCUAUAAGACUGGGAUAACUUCGGGCAACCGGAGCUAAUACCGGAUAAUAUAUUGAACCGCAUGGUUCAAUAGUGAAAGACGGUUUUCCUGUCACUUAUAGCUGGAUCCGCGCCGCAUUAGCUAGUUGGUAAGGUAACGGCUUACCAAGGCAACGAUGCGUAGCCGACCUGAGAGGGUGAUCGGCCACACUGGAACUGAGACACGGCCCAGACUCCUACGGGAGGCAGCAGUAGGGAAUCUUCCGCAAUGGGCGAAAGCCUGACGGAGCAACGCCGCGUGAGUGAUGAAGGUCUUCGGAUCGUAAAACUCUGUUAUUAGGGAAGAACAAAUGUGUAAGUAACUAUGCACGUCUUGACGGUACCUAAUCAGAAAGCCACGGCUAACUACGUG
This 497-nucleotide ribosomal RNA is filed under the name uncultured bacterium. RNAcentral's name for it is "partial 16S ribosomal RNA". It matches the Rfam family "Bacterial small subunit ribosomal RNA", at positions 28 to 507 of the family's 1533-position model. The record is from RNAcentral.